AAACCUGCAUCUGACUGGGGAAUAACAGCUCUAACGGGCUGCUAAUACCGCAUAACGCUACGGAUCGCAUGUUCUGUAGUUAAAGAUGGCCUCUACAUGUAAGCUGUCGGUUGGAUAUGGUCCCGCGUCCUAUUAGCUUGUUGGUGGGGUAACGGCUCACCAAGGCAACAAUGGGUAGCCGGCUUGAGAGAGUGGUCGGCCACACUGGGACUGAGAUACGGCCCAG
RNAcentral lists this ribosomal RNA (226 nucleotides) under uncultured bacterium. RNAcentral describes it as "partial 16S ribosomal RNA". It matches the Rfam family "Bacterial small subunit ribosomal RNA", at positions 122 to 334 of the family's 1533-position model. The record is from RNAcentral.